RNAcentral lists this ribosomal RNA (482 nucleotides) under uncultured bacterium. RNAcentral describes it as "partial 16S ribosomal RNA". It matches the Rfam family "Bacterial small subunit ribosomal RNA", at positions 30 to 507 of the family's 1533-position model. The record is from RNAcentral.
AUUGAACGCUGGCGGCAUGCCUUACACAUGCAAGUCGAACGGUAACGGGCCUUCGGGUGCCGACGAGUGGCGCACGGGUGCGUAAUACAUCGGAACGUGCCCGAUCGUGGGGGAUAACGAGGCGAAAGCUUUGCUAAUACCGCAUACGAUCUACGGAUGAAAGCAGGGGACCGCAAGGCCUUGCGCUGACGGAGCGGCCGAUGGCAGAUUAGGUAGUUGGUGGGAUAAAAGCUUACCAAGCCGACGAUCUGUAGCUGGUCUGAGAGGAUGAUCAGCCACACUGGGACUGAGACACGGCCCAGACUCCUACGGGAGGCAGCAGUGGGGAAUUUUGGACAAUGGGCGCAAGCCUGAUCCAGCCAUGCCGCGUGCAGGAUGAAGGCCUUCGGGUUGUAAACUGCCUUUGUACGGAACGAAAAGCCUUCUUUUAAUACAGGAGGGUCAUGACGGUACCGUAAGAAUAAGCACCGGCUAACUACGUG